GGACCCGUGGCCCAAUUGGCAAGGCGCUUGACUACGAAUCAAGAGAUUCUGGGUUCGAAUCCCAGCGGGUUCA
This 73-nucleotide transfer RNA is filed under the name Ascosphaera acerosa. RNAcentral's name for it is "tRNA-Arg". It matches the Rfam family "tRNA". From Rfam's summary of the family: Transfer RNA (tRNA) molecules are approximately 80 nucleotides in length. Their secondary structure includes four short double-helical elements and three loops (D, anti-codon, and T loops). Lineage: Eukaryota; Fungi; Ascomycota; Eurotiomycetes; Onygenales; Ascosphaeraceae. The record is from RNAcentral. RNAcentral also lists the same sequence under 1 other name.